RNAcentral lists this ribosomal RNA (1465 nucleotides) under Streptomyces sp. S40. Its description in RNAcentral is "16S ribosomal RNA". It matches the Rfam family "Bacterial small subunit ribosomal RNA". Lineage: Bacteria; Bacillati; Actinomycetota; Actinomycetes; Kitasatosporales; Streptomycetaceae. The record is from RNAcentral.
CGCUGGCGGCGUGCUUAAGACAUGCAAGUCGAACGAUGAACCAGUUCGGUGGGGAUUAGUGGCGAACGGGUGAGUAACACGUGGGCAAUCUGCCCUUCACUCUGGGACAAGCCCUGGAAACGGGGUCUAAUACCGGAUAUCACUUCCACUCGCAUGGGUGGGGGUGGAAAGCUCCGGCGGUGAAGGAUGAGCCCGCGGCCUAUCAGCUUGUUGGUGAGGUAAUGGCUCACCAAGGCGACGACGGGUAGCCGGCCUGAGAGGGCGACCGGCCACACUGGGACUGAGACACGGCCCAGACUCCUACGGGAGGCAGCAGUGGGGAAUAUUGCACAAUGGGCGAAAGCCUGAUGCAGCGACGCCGCGUGAGGGAUGACGGCCUUCGGGUUGUAAACCUCUUUCGGGAGGGAAGAAGCGAAAGUGACGGUACCUGCAGAAGAAGCGCCGGCUAACUACGUGCCAGCAGCUCGCGGUAAUACGUAGGGCGCAAGCGUUGUCCGGAAUUAUUGGGCGUAAAGAGCUCGUAGGCGGUCUGUCGCGUCGGAUUUGAAAGCCCGGGGCUUAACCCCGGGUCUGCAUUCGAUACGGGCAGACUAGAGUGUGGUAGGGGAGAUCGGAAUUCCUGGUGUAGCGGUGAAAUGCGCAGAUAUCAGGAGGAACACCGGUGGCGAAGGCGGAUCUCUGGGCCAUUACUGACGCUGAGGAGCGAAAGCGUGGGGAGCGAACAGGAUUAGAUACCCUGGUAGUCCACGCCGUAAACGGUGGGAACUAGGUGUUGGUUACAUUCCACGUCGUCGGUGCCGCAGCUAACGCAUUAAGUUCCCCGCCUGGGGAGUACGGCCGCAAGGCUAAAACUCAAAGGAAUUGACGGGGGCGGGCACAAGCAGCGGAGCAUGUGGCUUAAUUCGACGCAACGCGAAGAACCUUACCAAGGCUUGACAUACACCGGAAAGCAUUAGAGAUAGUGCCCCCCUUGUGGUCGGUGUACAGGUGGUGCAUGGCUGUCGUCAGCUCGUGUCGUGAGAUGUUGGGUUUGGUCCCGCAACGAGCGCAACCCUUGUUCUGUGUUGCCAGCAUGCCCUUCGGGGUGAUGGGGACUCACAGGAGACUGCCGGGGUCAACUCGGAGGAAGGUGGGGACGACGUCAAGUCAUCAUGCCCCUUAUGUCUUGGGCUGCACACGUGCUACAAUGGCCGGUACAAAGAGCUGCGAAACCGUGAGGUGGAGCGUUCUCAAAAAGCCGGUCUCAGUUCGGUUUGGGGUCUGCAACUCGACCCCAUGAAGUCGGAGUUGCUAGUAAUCGCAGAUCAGCAUUGCUGCGGUGAAUACGUUCCCGGGCCUUGUACACACCGCCCGUCACGUCACGAAAGUCGGUAACACCCGAAGCCGGUGGCCCAACCCCUUGUGGGAGGGAGCUGUCGAAGGUGGGACUGGCGAUUGGGACGAAGUCGUAACAAGGUAGCCGUAC